AUCGUUAUCAUUUUUUUUUUAUUAAUUGUAUGCCGAAAAGUUUGGAAAAGGUUGAUUCUUUUUUAUUUACAAUUUCAAGCUCACAAUUGACCGUUGAGGUUAUGUUCCUGAUAUUUGUGAUUCAGCUCUGUAAUGGUUUUGAUGACUCUUGAGAUCCACAAACGAACGGAAGGUGGAAAGAUGCACUAACAGUAGUAGAAUUGAAUGGUAAUUGAAACAAACAGGAAAUUUUUUAACAAAUAGUCAAAACCGAACACUUAUAGCUGAACUCAAAACUGUUUUAAAUUUCAUUCAAAAAAUGAUGAAUCAAAACCAUAACCUCAAAGGACAAUGUGGUCAGGUUGGAGAUACAAGCUAUACUGGGUUCGAUUGCGAUCACUUGGAUGUUAAUACUUUUGUUGUCUUUUUAUAUACGUGACCAUGGUUUGUCGGCAUUCAGGAAGAUCUUUGGAUUUGGAUAAUCAGGCUGGUUUAGACUCGCACAGACUUCGUUCUAAUGUCUCUUAUUGCUGGAACGAGAGCGGCAUUCGAGGUGUUCGGCCACGUGUUACAGAACCUUUGCAUGUGUAUAUCGUGUAACAGACACGAGGAUACUCUAUGUCCUGGGAAACCAAGAAAAUUUCCAUUACGAAAUGAUCCUUGAGCGAUCAAAAAUUUAACCCAGACACUUUAAACACGAAAAAAAAAUAAAUAAAAAAAAUACCACUAGGCUGAGAAAUGUCCUCAAAAGAUACCAGGAGAAAUUUUAAGGGUAUCCAUUUAUUUGAUGUGCUCUUUCAAUCAAUCGACGAGAACCUGCAAUUUUCUCAUCGCUAAAAAACCCAAUUCCUGUGAGGAAUCGUGGAAUCAACAUAAUUAUGGAUUUUCAAAUUCCGAUGCCAUGCCGUGACAUAAACACCAUUUUUAUUUAUACAGAACAAGAAGAUUAAUAUUGACCUCAAGGGGACAAAAG
Molecule: long non-coding RNA, 952 nt
Organism: Aedes aegypti (yellow fever mosquito)
Lineage: Eukaryota; Metazoa; Arthropoda; Insecta; Diptera; Culicidae
Exons: 2
Source: RefSeq, a predicted model, not a curated record